RNAcentral lists this ribosomal RNA (506 nucleotides) under uncultured bacterium. Its description in RNAcentral is "partial 16S ribosomal RNA". It matches the Rfam family "Bacterial small subunit ribosomal RNA", at positions 29 to 507 of the family's 1533-position model. The record is from RNAcentral.
ACGCACGCUGGCGGCGUGCUUCACACCUGCAAGUCGCACGGGCCUUGUCCCCUUUUUUUUGGGGGUGGGGUUAGUGGCGAACGGGUGAGUAACACGUGAGUAACCUGCCCCUCCCUUCUGGAUAACCGCUUGAAAGGGUGGCUAAUACGGGGUGUUCUGGCCUGCUCGCAUGGGUGGGUUUGGAAAGAUUCGACCGGUUUUGGUUGUUUUGGUGGGGGAUGGGCUCGCGGCCUAUCAGCUUGUUGGUGGGGUGAUGGCCUGCCAAGGCUUUGACGGGUAGCCGGCCUGAGAGGGUGGGCGGUCACACUGGGACUGAGACACGGCCCAGACUCCUACGGGAGGCAGCAGUGGGGAAUAUUGCACAAUGGGCGCAAGCCUGAUGCAGCGACGCCGCGUGAGGGGUGGAGGCCUUCGGGUUGUGAACCUCUUUCGCCAGUGAAGAAGGUCCUGCUCUUUGUGGUGGGGUUGACGGUAGCGGGGUUAAUGAAGCGCCGGCUAACUACGUG